AAAAGAUGGUUCUGCUAUCACUCUUGGAUGGACCUGCGGUGCAUUAGCUAGUUGGUAAGGUAACGGCUUACCAAGGCAAUGAUGCAUAGCCGAGUUGAGAGACUGAUCGGCCACAUUGGGACUGAGACACGGCCCAAACUCCUACGGGAGGCAGCAGUAGGGAAUCUUCCACAAUGGACGCAAGUCUGAUGGAGCAACGCCGCGUGAGUGAAGAAGGGUUUCGGCUCGUAAAGCUCUGUCGGUAGUGAAGAAAGAUAGAGGUAGUAACUGGCCUUUAUUUGACGGUAAUUACCUAGAAAGUCACGGCUAACUACGUGCCAGCAGCCGCGGUAAUACGUAGGUGGCAAGCGUUGUCCGGAUUUAUUGGGCGUAAAGCGAGUGCAGGCGGUUCAAUAAGUCUGAUGUGAAAGCCUUCGGCUCAACCGGAGAAUUGCAUCAGAAACUGUUGAACUUGAGUGCAGAAGAGGAGAGUGGAACUCCAUGUGUAGCGGUGGAAUGCGUAGAUAUAUGGAAGAACACCAGUGGCGAAGGCGGCUCUCUGGUCUGCAACUGACGCUGAGGCUCGAAAGCAUGGGUAGCGAACAGGAUUAGAUACCCUGGUAGUCCAUGCCGUAAACGAUGAGUGCUAAGUGUUGGGAGGUUUCCGCCUCUCA
RNAcentral lists this ribosomal RNA (653 nucleotides) under uncultured bacterium. RNAcentral's name for it is "bacterial SSU rRNA". It matches the Rfam family "Bacterial small subunit ribosomal RNA", at positions 202 to 842 of the family's 1533-position model. The record is from RNAcentral.